RNAcentral lists this ribosomal RNA (623 nucleotides) under Mesobacillus campisalis. RNAcentral describes it as "bacterial LSU rRNA". It matches the Rfam family "Bacterial large subunit ribosomal RNA", at positions 2305 to 2925 of the family's 2925-position model. The record is from RNAcentral. Lineage: Bacteria; Bacillati; Bacillota; Bacilli; Caryophanales; Bacillaceae.
GGCGCCCAAAGGUUCCCUCAGAAUGGUUGGAAAUCAUUCGCAGAGUGUAAAGGCACAAGGGAGCUUGACUGCGAGACCUACAAGUCGAGCAGGGACGAAAGUCGGGCUUAGUGAUCCGGUGGUUCCGCAUGGAAGGGCCAUCGCUCAACGGAUAAAAGCUACCCCGGGGAUAACAGGCUUAUCUCCCCCAAGAGUCCACAUCGACGGGGAGGUUUGGCACCUCGAUGUCGGCUCAUCGCAUCCUGGGGCUGUAGUCGGUCCCAAGGGUUGGGCUGUUCGCCCAUUAAAGCGGUACGCGAGCUGGGUUCAGAACGUCGUGAGACAGUUCGGUCCCUAUCCGUCGUGGGCGCAGGAAAUUUGAGAGGAGCUGUCCUUAGUACGAGAGGACCGGGAUGGACGCACCGCUGGUGUACCAGUUGUCUUGCCAAAGGCAUCGCUGGGUAGCUAUGUGCGGACGGGAUAAGUGCUGAAAGCAUCUAAGCAUGAAGCCCCCCUCAAGAUGAGAUUUCCCAUAGCGUCAAGCUAGUAAGAUCCCUGAAAGAUGAUCAGGUUGAUAGGUCAGAGGUGGAAGCACGGUGACGUGUGGAGCUGACUGAUACUAAUCGAUCGAGGACUUAACCUAA